Molecule: RNA transcript, 4560 nt
Organism: Magnolia sinica
Lineage: Eukaryota; Viridiplantae; Streptophyta; Magnoliopsida; Magnoliales; Magnoliaceae
Gene name: probable leucine-rich repeat receptor-like protein kinase At1g35710
Exons: 3
Source: RefSeq, a predicted model, not a curated record
GGUUCAUCCCACUAUAAAAUGAAAGCAUCCUCUCCUAACCCAAACACAAACCCACAGCACUAGCAACAUAAAUCCAAACAUGUACUCAAAGAAAUCCCUUCUCUCUCUCCUCUUCUUACUACUAAUAGCUUCCUCCAAUGAAUCAUCAUCCCCAGCAUCUGCAUCUGAGGAAGCAACAGUUCUCCUCAAAUGGAAAGCCAGUCUCUCUCAAACAGAGGCUCUCCGUUCAUGGUCCUUAUUCCCCAUUGCCAACGCUUCUGCCACCCGACAUAGCUCUCCAUGCAACUGGACUGGAAUCUCAUGCGAUCAUGCAGAAAGCGUAGUUGAAAUAACCCUGUGGAAUACGAGCUUGCAAGGUACGCUUGAUCAUUUGAGCUUCUCUUCAUUUCCCAACCUCGUCCACCUCAAUCUCAGCCAAAACUCACUCCAUGGAAUUAUUCCAACCCAGAUUGGUUCUCUUUCAAAACUCGUCUACCUUGAUUUGUCUGCCAAUCAACUGUCGGGUACGUAGCCUCCUUCACUAUCUAAUCUCACUCGCAUUCUACAGCUCCACCUUUCUAAUAACAUGAUAACUGGUGAAAUAUCCCCUCAUUUCUUUGCUAAUUGGACCAGACUCAUUUCCCUUCAACUCUAUACCAAUCGACUCACCGGAGCAGUUCCAUCGAGAAUUAGUCUGCUGAGAAAUCUCCACCACUUGGACCUCUCCCAAAAUCAGAUAGUUGGUUCGAUACCUUCGGAAAUAGGAACGCUUAAAGAUCUCCUGUACCUAAGAUUGAGCACAAACAAUCUCACGGGUACCAUCCCUCCAUCUCUGGGUAAUUUGAGCCAGCUGACGUAUAUUGGCCUCCAUGAAAACCGAGUUUCGGGUCCUAUCCCACGAGAAAUAGGAAAUAUGAGGAAUCUGAUACAAGUGCACAUGUUCCGGAACCUUCUAAACGGUUCCAUUCCUUCCACUUUAGGAAACUUGACCCAGUUGAAUACCCUUCAUCUCUAUGAGAACGAAUUAUCGGGUCCUAUCCCAGAGGAAAUAGGAAAUUUGAGGAAUCUGACUCAAUUGCUCAUGGGCCGUAACAAUCUGAACGGUUCCAUUCCUUCCACCAUAGGAAACUUGACCCAGUUGGUUUACUUGCACCUCCUUAUGAAUAGUAUUUCAGGGCCAAUCCCUCAAGAAAUAGGAAAACUUGGGAAUUUGUAUCAGCUAGACCUGUCCACUAACCUUUUAACUGGUUCCUUGCCCUUUACUUUAGCAAAUCUAACUGAGCUUCCCUACUUAUACCUUUGUGGAAAUCAGAUUUCCGGACAGAUCUAUCCAGAAAUGGGCAAUCUUAAGGGUCUGUACGAGCUGCAGAUAUGUCGUAACAGUCUAACAGGUUCCAUUCCUUCCACUCUGGAAAACAUGACUUGGCUCACCAGCUUGGUGCUCUUUGAAAAUCAGCUCAGUGGUCCAAUCCCUCCAUCUCUCGGAAAUUUGAGAAGCCUAAAUCGACUCGCCCUAUUUAGAAAUAAUCUCACUGGUCCAAUCCCUCCGUCUCUUGGAAAUUUGAGAAGCCUAAUUGAACUCGCCCUAUCUGAAAAUAAUCUCACUGGUCCAAUCCCUCCAUCUCUGGGAAAUUUGAGAAGCCUAAUUCGACUCUCUCUAUUUUAUAAUCAGUUAUCUGGUUCAGUACCUCCAGAAAUCUCAAAUCCAACACGUUUGGAGAUUCUCUCUUUGUCUGGCAACAAUUUCUCUGGCCACCUACCUCAAGUAUGCCAAGGCGGAUCACUCAGAUACUUCACUGCAGUAAGCAACCAUUUCAGUGGUCCCCUCCCUGAAAGCCUGAGAAACUGCACCACUUUAACAAGAGUUCGGCUCGAAUAUAAUCAGCUCACAGGAAAUAUAUCCCAAGUUUUUGGUGUAUAUCCUGAUUUGGAGUUCAUUGACCUGAGUUACAAUAGAUUGUAUGGUGAGCUGUCGCCCAAUUGGGGAGAAUGUCGAAACCUAACACUACUAAAAAUCUCCAACAACAAUAUUACUGGUACAAUUCCGUUGCAAAUUGGGCAAUUGAGUAGGCUUCGAGAGCUCGAACUUUCAUCGAACAACUUAGAAGGAGAUAUUCCUAGUACCUUUGGGAUGUUGUCUCUGCUUUAUGAAUUGAGUUUAAAAAAUAACCAACUAUCCGGUUGGGUACCAGUUGAAAUUGGAAAACUAUCCAAUUUGGAGAUUCUUGACCUAUCGAAGAACAAACUGGGCGGGCCGAUACCUCAACAACUGGGGGACUGCUCCAAAUUGCGGUAUUUGAGCAUGAGUGAGAAUUAUUUGAAUGGGAGCAUUCCAUUUCAGAUAGGUAAUCUAGUUGGACUACAGUCUGAAUUGGCUUUCAGCCAUAACUUCCUUUCGGGAGAGAUACCCCAACAACUCGGGAAGCUGCACAUGCUGGAAAAGCUAAAUUUCUCCCACAACUCGCUCUCAGGUUCCAUUCCAUUGUCUUUCAAAGAGAUGUUCAGUUUAUCUUCCAUCGACUUAUCAUACAAUGAUUUGGAGGGCCCUCUCCCUGACAGCAAAGCAUUUCGUUUGGCUCCAUUAGAGGCAUUCAUUGAAAACGAAGGUCUAUGCGGUGAAGUAAAAGGCAUGCUACCAUGUAAUUCCUCUUCAAUAAACCCUGUUGGCAGAAAGAAAGACCUCAAAACUGUGUUCUUCAUCAUUACUCCCAUUGUGGCAGCAUUGUUUCUUCUAUUUGCAUUUGUUGUCAUUUAUUUCAUUUUUCUCCGGAGAUCACCAAGAAACGCAGAGAAAGGGGACAUCGAAAUGAACAAUGGAAAUCUAUUUGCAAUAUGGAAUUUUGAUGGAAAGACCGUGUAUGAAGACAUCAUCAUAGCAACAGAGGAUUUCAAUGACAAACAUUGCAUUGGGGUGGGAGGGUGUGGGAGAGUUUAUAAAGCAAAUCUACAAACCGGUCAGGUAGUAGCUGUGAAAAAACUUAACCCAUUAGAAGGGGGUGAGGGAGUGGACCAAAGAAGCUUUAGAAAUGAGAUACAAGCAUUAAUAGAAAUCCGACAUCGCAACAUUGUGAAGCUUUAUGGGUUCUGUUCGCAUGCUCGGUGCUCGUUUCUAGUGUACGAGUACAUGGAAAGGGGAAGCUUGGCUAGCAUCCUCAGCAGCUGUACAGAACGAGCUGUAGAAUUGGAUUGGGUGAAGAGGAUGAAGGUAAUCAGAGGAGUAUCCUAUGCAUUAUCAUAUAUGCACCACGAUUGCACCCCCCCUAUAGUUCACCGGGAUUUAUCGAGCAGCAAUAUUUUAUUGGAUUUGGAAUUUGAGGCCCGUGUCUCUGACUUCGGCACUGCUAGACUUCUAAAACCCGAUUCAUUGACCUGGUCUGCACUUGUGGGAACUUGUGGAUAUGUCGCUCCAGAGCUUGCAUACACAAUGAGGGUGACUGAGAAAUGCGAUGUAUAUAGCUUUGGAGUUGUAUCACUUGAACUAAUAAUGGGAAGGCAUCCUGGGGAUCUCUUGUCAUCCUUGGCAUCAUCAGGUGGCCAAGAUACAUUGUUGAUGGAUGUGUUAGACCAACGCCUCCCGCCCCCUACGCCUCAAGACUUGAAGGAUGUGGUUUGUGCAGCGAUGUUGGCACUUGCAUGCUUACGUGCCAGUCCUCAAACUCGGCCCACCAUGCAACACGUGUCCCAGGAGCUAUCUGCAGGCAGGACUCCUCUUAUCAAGGCUUUGCACACAGUUACAUUGUCUCAACUGGCAGAUAUCCAGGUAUGAUUGAUUAAAUAGGUUGAAAUUAUAGAGUAGAAAUGAAAAGCCAGAAAUGACAUAUCCAUCUCUCCACAGUACACAGGUAGGGAUAUUUAUUGAUCAGAGCUGUCCAUCUAGUUGGCACUGUCAUGUUUUAGAAAGCACGCCAAAUAUUAGACAAUCCUUUCCAUCACAUUUCUCCAUUUUGUUUGGUGAGUUUUUUUUUUUUUUUUUCCAUUAAUUACUUUGAUAAAUUUUUGAACAUUAAGUCUCUUGUUUUUUUAUUCCUAAGAGCUAUUGAAAUGUAUUGAUUUAAAAAUAAAUAAAAACAGCUAAACAGGGGAAGGCAUCAAACUACCCCUUAAAGGACAGAUGUUCGGCCUUUAAUGUCUUCAUCUCACACCUUUUUUAAGGCAUUCUUUUAGUUGGUUUGGAAAUAGCAUAUUUGUAUAAUUAUAAAAACUAUGCAUACAAAAGUAGGGACAACUAGAUGGACCGACCUGAUUGAUUACCCUGAAACUCAUAAGAUGGUGAGUUGAUUCUCCUAUAUUAUUUCCACGGGCACCACUGUAUCAUAUUCUCCCAUGAGGGAACGGAUAUGACGCUAACCACCAACAUCUAAAUUAGUUUUCAACCACUCAAUAUUUGUACAUGCAGCAGAUGGAUAGGAAAUCUGAAUUGUUCAUCUCUUAUAGGCCCUGUUGUGGAUGGGCUAUAUACCAAAACAAACACAAGCACAAAGAAGCUUCUGGUUGGAUAAAUUGUGCCUCAUGAAAUAUGAUAAUUUAUUGGACCUUUUCUAUGUAAUCCUCAUAAAUCUUUCAAUCAGUAGCUGGAGAACU